GAAUUUUGGACAAUGGGCGAAAGCCUGAUCCAGCAAUGCCGCGUGCAGGAUGAAGGCCUUCGGGUUGUAAACUGCUUUUGUUCGGAACGAAAAGCUUUGGGUUAAUACCCUGGAGUCCUGACGGUACCGUAAAAAUAAGCACCGGUUACAUCCGUGCCAGCAGCCGCGGUAAUACGUAGGGUGCAAGAGUUAAUCGGUAUUACUGGGCGUAAAACGGGCGCAGGCGGUUUUGUAAGACAGAGGUGAAAUCCCCGGGCUCAACCUGGGAACUGCCUUUGUGACUGCAAGGCUAGAGUACGGCAGAGGGGGGUGGAAUUCCGCGUGUAGCAGUGAAAUGCGUAGAUAUGCGGAGGAACACCGAUGGCGAAGGCAACCCCCUGGGCCUGUACUGACGCUCAUGCACGAAAGCGUGGGGAGCAAACA
RNAcentral lists this ribosomal RNA (423 nucleotides) under uncultured bacterium. Its description in RNAcentral is "partial 16S ribosomal RNA". It matches the Rfam family "Bacterial small subunit ribosomal RNA", at positions 359 to 774 of the family's 1533-position model. The record is from RNAcentral.